Molecule: ribosomal RNA, 650 nt
Filed under: bacterium
Lineage: Bacteria
Description: bacterial SSU rRNA
Rfam family: Bacterial small subunit ribosomal RNA
Source: RNAcentral
CGCAGGCGGCUGCUAUACAUGCAGUCGAGCGGACUUGAUGAGAAGCUUGCUUCUCUGAUGGUUAGCGGCGGACGGGUGAGUAACACGUAGGCAACCUGCCUGUAAGAUCGGGAUAACUACCGGAAACGGUAGCUAAGACCGGAUAAUCGGUUUCUCCGCAUGGAGAGAUCGUGAAACACGGAGCAAUCUGUGGCUUACGGAUGGGCCUGCGGCGCAUUAGCUAGUUGGUGAGGUAACGGCUCACCAAGGCGACGAUGCGUAGCCGACCUGAGAGGGUGAACGGCCACACUGGGACUGAGACACGGCCCAGACUCCUACGGGAGGCAGCAGUAGGGAAUCUUCCGCAAUGGACGCAAGUCUGACGGAGCAACGCCGCGUGAGUGAUGAAGGUUUUCGGAUCGUAAAGCUCUGUUGCCAGGGAAGAACGCCAAGGAGAGUAACUGCUCUUUGGGUGACGGUACCUGAGAAGAAAGCCCCGGCUAACUACGUGCCAGCAGCCGCGGUAAUACGUAGGGGGCAAGCGUUGUCCGGAAUUAUUGGGCGUAAAGCGCGCGCAGGCGGUUUUUUAAGUCUGGUGUUUAAUCCCGAGGCUCAACCUCGGUUCGCACCGGAAACUGGGAGACUGGAGUGCAGGAGAGGAAAGUGGAAUU